This 506-nucleotide ribosomal RNA is filed under the name uncultured bacterium. RNAcentral describes it as "bacterial SSU rRNA". It matches the Rfam family "Bacterial small subunit ribosomal RNA", at positions 15 to 507 of the family's 1533-position model. The record is from RNAcentral.
GAUCCUGGCUCAGGAUGAACGCUAGCGGCAGGCUUAACACAUGCAAGUCGAGGGGCAGCAUGACACGGAGAUUCGUCGAAGUGUUGAUGGCGACCGGCGCAAGGGUGCGUAACGCGUGAGCAACUUGCCCGUUUCUGGGGAAUAACCGGUGGAAACGCCGACUAAUACCCCAUAGUAUAACGAAGAGGCAUCUUUUUGUUAUUAAAGAGUUUCGGAAACGGAUAGGCUCGCGUGACAUUAGCUAGAUGGCGGGGUAACGGCCCACCAUGGCGACGAUGUCUAGGGGUUCUGAGAGGAAGGUCCCCCACACUGGAACUGAGACACGGUCCAGACUCCUACGGGAGGCAGCAGUGAGGAAUAUUGGACAAUGGGCGAGAGCCUGAACCAGCCAAGUAGCGUGAAGGAAGACUGCCCUAUGGGUUGUAAACUUCUUUUGUUCGGGAAUAAAGUGCAGUACGCGUACUGUUUUGUAUGUACCGUUCGAAUAAGCAUCGGCUAAUUCCGUG